This is a non-coding RNA of Notechis scutatus (mainland tiger snake), 927 nucleotides long. The record is from RefSeq and is a predicted model, not a curated record. Lineage: Eukaryota; Metazoa; Chordata; Lepidosauria; Squamata; Elapidae.
UAUGAGCAUGUCAAACACCAAAGAAUGGUUGAUAGACACAUUGCACGAUUUGUUUUAUGAAGGGCAAGAGGAAUGCCGAGAAGGUACAAUAUUAAGCAUUUACAGUACAAUACAAUUUAAUAGGUAUCUUACAUACAAAAGGGAUGGCAUUAAGACCUAAACAUUUUAGAAAAAGAUAUUAAACUAACUUGAUGGCACAAAAUGUACAAUGCAGCAACUUUUCUGCAUAGUUAACCCUCAACCAGUUGUGUUUGGGGGGGACAGAUGGAGAAAUUCUUCUUCUUUUUUUUUUGCUUAACAGCUCUCACUCAGUUUGAUAAAAGUAGCGUACUUAAAAAAAGUGUACUUUGAAAAAGAGAACCUUAGUGAAAAAGUGGUGUGUUGUGACAAUUCUGUACUUGUUUAGUUCUGAGGUAGCUAAGGGACGUGUAUGUGUGUGUGUAUGUGUGUGUGAGAAUGUCCUGUUUUUCUUGGUAGCAUCACCCCCCCCAGAUCUCUUCAGGUUUUUUUAGUAACCUUCAGCACCAUUUGCAAAGGGCAGCAAAACUGCAGGGAUAGCAUCUUGCAAAAUGCAAUGUGUGACUGCCAUCUUGUACAAUUUGACACUCCUGCCCCACCACAGUUCUGUAGUUUUGUCCUUAAAUUGUUGGAGAACCUCUCUUUACUCUGGUGAAAUACCUUCCUAUCCACAAAUUUGGUGGGGAAUUUCUAUUUGUGGCCAUUUGUUUAUUAAUCUUGCUGAUGAAAUAUGUAAAAAAAAAAAGCCCCCUGGUCAGUUCAAAAAUGGGCAAUUCUGCCCAGCUUGUUGGGACGCCACAUUUCCUUAAUGAAAUUCUUCACAAGGGGCACCAAAAUCGAAGGGAGUUUUUAGUCCUGUGCUAUUUCAUUUCAUGGGCCCCUGCCCCAUUUUGUUUUGUGUCUGUGUAU